AUGGCGCUCUACCUGCUCUUCGAGUCCGCCUCCGGGUACGCGCUCUUCCACGCGCACGGCAUCGACGAGAUUGGGCAGAGCGUCGACGCCGUCCGCUCCACCGUGCUGGACCUCAAGCGGUUCAGCAAGGCCGUCAAGCUCGCCGGGUUCACCCCCUUCCUCUCCGCCGUCGACGCCCUCAACCAGUGCAACGCCAUCUCCGAAGGGAUCAUGACUGACGAGCUUAGGAACUUCCUGGAGCUCAACCUGCCCAAGGUGAAGGAGGGGAAGAAGGCCAAGUUCACCGUCGGCGUCAUGGAGCCCAAGGUCGGGUCCCACAUCACCGAGGCCACCGGAAUCCCUUGCCAGUCCAACGACUAUGUCCAGGAACUGCUUCGUGCAGUGCGGCUGCAUUUCGAUCAAUUCAUUGAGCAACUCAAGCCAUCUGACCUGGAGAAGGCCCAGCUAGGUCUGGGACAUAGCUAUAGCAGGGCCAAGGUGAAGUUCAAUGUGAAUCGUGUGGAUAAUAUGGUGAUUCAAGCUAUCUUUCUGUUGGAUACACUUGAUAAGGAUGUCAAUUCCUUCUCUAUGAGAGUGAGGGAGUGGUAUGGAUGGCAUUUUCCUGAGCUGGUCAAGAUUGUGAAUGACAAUUACCUCUAUGCUAAGCUUGCCAAGUUUGUGGUAAACAAAUCUGACUUGUCGGAGAAGGACAUUCCAGCUUUAGCGGAUCUAAUUGGAGAUGAAGACAAGGCAAAAGAAAUUGUUGAGGCAGCAAAGGCAUCUAUGGGCCAGGAUCUUUCACCUGUUGAUUUGAUCAAUGUCCAACAGUUUGCUCAGAGGGUCAUGAAUCUAUCUGAGUACCGUAAAAAUCUCUAUGAGUAUCUGGUGACAAAGAUGAAUGAUAUUGCACCAAACCUGACGUCAUUGAUUGGUGAAAUGGUUGGAGCCCGGCUAAUCUCUCAUGCUGGCAGUCUUUCAAAUCUUGCAAAAUGCCCUGCAUCUACUCUGCAGAUACUGGGUGCUGAAAAGGCGCUCUUUAGAGCUCUCAAAACACGUGGAAACACACCAAAGUAUGGCCUCAUAUUCCACUCAUCUUUUAUUGGUCGUGCAUCAACCAAGAACAAGGGAAGGAUGGCCCGAUACCUUGCAAACAAAUGUUCCAUUGCUUCACGUAUUGACUGCUAUUCAGAUAUGAGUAGCUCCAUUUUCGGCGAGAAGCUGCGUGAACAAGUUGAGGAGAGGCUAGACUUCUAUGAUAAGGGUGUUGCACCCCGCAAGAACCUUGAUGUGAUGAAAGCUGCUAUUGAUGGCUUGACAAACACAGAGGAUAAUGACGGCAAAGAGAAUGGUGACGCAUCUGUGAAGAAAAGCAAGAAGAAGAAGUCCAAAGCUGAGGCUAACGGUGACGCGAUGGACGUUGAGAAUGCCACGGCAGAAGCUGAAACUGGAACCGAGAAGAAAAAGAAAAAGAAGCACAAGCUUGAGGAGCCGAAGGACGAGGAGAUGCAAGCCAAUGGCGAUGAUGAGACCCCUAAGAAGAAGAAAAAGAAGAACCGUGAAGCCGAGUCUGUUGAUCCUAAGACAGGCACAGAGGGGAAAUCCAAGAAAAAGAAGAAGAAAUCCAAGACUGACGACGACGAGUAG
This 1623-nucleotide ribosomal RNA is filed under the name Triticum aestivum (bread wheat). Its description in RNAcentral is "partial small subunit ribosomal RNA". The record is from RNAcentral. Lineage: Eukaryota; Viridiplantae; Streptophyta; Magnoliopsida; Poales; Poaceae.